RNAcentral lists this long non-coding RNA (841 nucleotides) under Homo sapiens (human). Its description in RNAcentral is "HSALNT0122006". Lineage: Eukaryota; Metazoa; Chordata; Mammalia; Primates; Hominidae. The record is from RNAcentral.
AACAAACAGCCUCCAUAUCUUUACCCAAGCUCCUCUGCUCCGGGCCCAGACCCUGCUAUCCCCAGGCACGAAUACAGCAUAAGGCUGGCUCCAUGUUCCUCUACCCCACCCCCCAAAGAAGGAAAUCACUGGGGAAACCAAUCUCCUCUCCAUCAGGGUGGCUCUGGGAUACAAGCUCUUGGUAGGGUGUGCUUGGAAGUGACAGGGUCAGAGAGAUAAACAUAGUGGAGACAGACUGUGCAUCACUUUAGAACACAGCUUGGCUAAAACAUCCAGAGCACUCACUGUCCCCAGGACCAGCCUCAGCACUCCAUGAAGCCAGGUGGGAAGGCCAACCUAGGGCAAGGACCAGAAAGUACCACUGUCCUGCCCCCAUCAUACACACUGGCUUCGUGGAAAUCCUUGGGUGUUAACAGAAGAGGAGCAGGGAUCAUGGAGGCCCCAAAUCUCGGGUCCUGCUAGCUUCAGUCCUACCAUGACCAAAGACACAGACUCCUUCGUCUCUGUAUAAGCUUUUGCCGAGAAAAAACUUGGUUCUUUCUAAAAUACUCAGGCACUCUCCUAGUUUCUCCCCACUCUCCUGCUGCCCCAACCUCCUCAUGCCCCCAGCAUGGCCUUGUGACGCCUGGUAAGCAGGUGACAUGCAAUCUAGGACCCCAAGCCAGCAGAGAAGCCCAGCCUUCAGGCUGAGAAGGCAGCUGGAGAGCUCAGGCCAGGGCAUAAGGGACAGUACACAUGUGUGUAUGUCACACCACCGCUUAUGCACAUAACACACAGACACAGCUCACACAUCAACAGUUGUUCAGAAAGGGACCAGCAGAUAGCUGCCCCGGCUCCUCUA